This 170-nucleotide ribosomal RNA is filed under the name Citrobacter koseri. RNAcentral's name for it is "partial 16S ribosomal RNA". It matches the Rfam family "Bacterial small subunit ribosomal RNA", at positions 1 to 164 of the family's 1533-position model. The record is from RNAcentral. Lineage: Bacteria; Pseudomonadati; Pseudomonadota; Gammaproteobacteria; Enterobacterales; Enterobacteriaceae. RNAcentral also lists the same sequence under 13 other names.
AAAUUGAAGAGUUUGAUCAUGGCUCAGAUUGAACGCUGGCGGCAGGCCUAACACAUGCAAGUCGAACGGUAACAGGAAGCAGCUUGCUGCUUCGCUGACGAGUGGCGGACGGGUGAGUAAUGUCUGGGAAACUGCCUGAUGGAGGGGGAUAACUACUGGAAACGGUAGCU